CACAUCUUCCUUAUCCAUUCAUCCAUCUAUGAUACCUGGAUUGCUUCCAACUUGUGUUGACUGUGAAUAAAGCUGCUCUGAACAGGGUGGACAACUAUCUCUUGGAGAUCCUGCUUUCAAUUAUUUGGGGUACAUACCCAGAAGUGGAACUGCUAUAUCACAUGGUGAUUCUAUUUAAAAGUUUUUGAGGAACCACCAUACUGUUUUGCACAGCAGCUGUACCAGUUUACAUCCCCACCAACAGCACAAGGGUUCCAAUUUUUCCAUAUCCUUAUUAUUUUCUGGUAUGUUUACAGGAGCCAUCCUAAAGGGCAUGAGGUGGUUCUCAGUGAGAUAUUUUUGACCAAAGUAAAAUUCUUAGCUCAGAAUUGUAAGGAUACCUGAAAGCUAUGACUUUGCAAUGACUCAGUGAUGGAACCCAUUCUGAGGAAAGUUAGAUUUAAAGUAGAGGGUUUGAUAAGUUAAGACAAUGAGUUGUUAUGUUGGUGGUGAUGACACACUAACAUGUUGCUUUCCAUGUUUAUGGGGAACCAUGCUGAUAAAGCAGAAUAAGAGUUUUGAUUGACUUUAAGGAGGAAUGACUUGCAAAUGACUGAGGCAAUUAUCCGAUGAUCUUCCUCUCUGAAGGGAAGAUGGUCUUCUAUGCCUGGAUGCUUUCUUGGCAAGACGGAGGGCUUUGGGGAUUCUGGCCCACUUCCUAGCAAGUUAACCUCUCUGAGCUUGCUUCCUCAUCUCUAAAGUAGCCACAAUUGCAGCUGCCUUCUUGUGUGAUCAUAGGGAAUAAACAGGAUAAUAUACAGUGGUGGCUACCACUUGUGUUGCCCAAUUUUUUUUUUCAGGAAUAAAGAAUAAAGAAUAUAGACCCAGGAGUUCCCAUCGUGGCUCAGUGGUUAACGAACGUGAUAAGCAUCCAUGAGGAUGCGGGUUCAACUUCUGGCCUUGCUCAGUGGGUCGGGGAUCCAGAGUUGCCGUGAGCUGUGGAGUAGGUUGCAGACGCGGCUCNUCGGAUCCUGUGUUGCUGUGACUGUGGUGUAGGCUAGCAGCUGCAGCUCCAAUUCGACCCCUAGCCUGGGAACGUGCUGCAAGUGAGGUCCUAAAAAGACAAAAGAUUAAAAAAAAACAAAAAAACAAAAAAACCCAUAGACCCAGGUGUUGGAAGUGCUGUCAGCUGACUUCCUUCAGCUACCAGUCCCCUCAGGUAUGGCCUCAGCUGCAGAGCUGCCUGGGCCAAGGUCAUGUCCCUUCCCCACAUCUAAUGGCUGGUCCUAUGUGGGGAUAUGAAGGCUUAUCCAUAUUAGCCCAACUCAGGACACUCUAAAGAGUCAUCCUGUCUUCAGAACAUCCCUCAGGGUGCCUAUUCCUCUGUACUUUGUCCACAUAGAUGGUCUCAAUCUUUAAUUUAUUUUCUUUGGCUUUUUUAGGGAUGGGUUUGUGUCAUAUGGAGAUUCCCAAGCUAGGGGUAGAAUCGGAGCUGUAGCUGCUGGCCUACGUCAUAGCCACAGCGACACCAGAUCUGAGCCAUGUCUUCGACCUAUACCACAGCUCNGUUUGUGUCAUAUGGAGAUUCCCAAGCUAGGGACUGAAGAUUUUUCUUAUCUUUANAAUAAAAAGCGAUAUGUUAAGUGAUUAUCAGGACGUGCUUUUACUUGAUAAUAAUGAGACUGAAGAUUUUUCUUAUCUUUAUAGGCUGUGACUGAUCUGCUGAAUGCUGGUCUUUUUUUAAGCCCAAGAGUAGACCUGAUUCUAGAAAUACUGUAGAAAAGAUUUCAGGACAUAUAUCUAGACAAAACUUUCACUGAAAAAGAUAAUGCACCCCUAUGUUUAUAGCAGCAUUAUUCACAAUAGCCAAGACAUGGAAACAACGUAAAUGUCCACUGAAGAUGAAUGGAUUAAGAAGAUGUGGUACAUAUACACAAUGGAAUACUACUCAUCCAUAAAAAAAAUAAACUAAUUCCAUUUGCAGCAACGUGGAUGGAACCAGAGAUGCUCAUACUAAGCGAAGUAAGCCAGAAAGAGACAAAUACCAUAUGAUAUCACUUAUUUGUGGAAUCUAAAAUGUGACACAGAUGAUCCUAUUUACAAAACAGAAAUAGAUCAUGGCCAAGGAGAGCAGAUUUGUGAUUCCCAGCGGGGAGAGGGAGAGAGUGGGAUGAACAGGCAGUUCAGGGUUUUUGGAUGCAAACUGUUGUAUUUGGAAUGGAUGGGCAAUGGGGCCCUACUAUACAGCACAGGGAACUAUGUGUGAUUGGGUCACUUUGCUGUACAAGAGAAAUUGAAGAAACACUGUAAAUCAACUAUACGUUAAUGAGAAAGAAAAAAAAGAUUUCAAAUAGCCAUGUCUGGCUGGAAUGUCAGAGAGAUUAAGCUCACUUUUCCCUUUUGUUCAUUUCACACCUGACCCAGAUGUUAUCAUUCUUGGCCUUGGGGUUUGAACAGAAAGCGGAAGCAACAUGAUGUCAAGUCCUAAACUCAUUGAAGGGAUGGGAGGGAGAGGGUGCAGAGUGAUGUUCAAAAUAUGUAGCACAUGCACCUUAAUUAGAUGCCAUGUGUACAGGAAGGUGGCACAUCCUGAUGGCUUGUGAAUUCCCUAAGCAGCAGGCACCUCAUCUAGUUCCCUGGAAGCUGCUGGGGAAGGGGCCAGACUCCACAAGGGUAUUGAAGAAGGCUGGGUCUCAGUCACUGGACUUCCUAUCUCAACUUAAAUGGCAGUCCUCAUGAGUUUCAGGUGCUGUCUGGGUCCUUCUGGCUAACAUAACUGUGUUAGCUAUUUCUGGAACAGCAGAACCCCUGUUCCCCCUCCCCAGUGCCUUGACUCUGAGAAACACCAAGGCACUUUUACACAAUGUAGGUGGAUGCCAGACCCUCAGGAAUGACUGGGGUUGAAUUUUCCACCAUCCAAAUGGAUGGAAUCUUGGAAUCAAAAUUAAGUUGCUUUAAAGGAAAUAAAAAACUUCUGCAUUUAUUGUACCCCAAGUGCAUGGGCUAAGAUCUAAGCAUAUCUCUACAAAAGGGACUCUAGAAAGCCAGGAAUAACAGAAACAGAAUAUGAUGGAAGAGUUAAACAGAUCAAAUCAUGGGUGGGGGGCAAGGAUAAAUUAAGAGUUUGGGAUUAACCUAUACACACUACUAUAUAUAAAAUAGAUUAUCAACAAAGACCAUAUGGUUUAACACAGGUAACUCUGCUCAAUAGUGUGUAAUAACCUAUAUGGGAAAAGAAUCUGAAAAAGAAUAGAUAUAUGUAUAUGCAGAACUGAUUCACUUCGCUCUACACUUGAAACCAACAUAACAUUGUAAAUCAACCAUACUCCAAGAUAAAAUAAAAAUUAAUUAAAAAAAAAAACAAGAUCAAACACUAUACUAACCUUCUUACAGGGAUCAUAGCAUUGAACUUCCAUCUGUGGUACCUUGGAUACCCCAAGUCAGCCCAGAUGGGAUGACCAGGUGGCUUGUCCUCCACAUCCCCCAACCCCCGCCUCAUCCUACCUCACUGUAGUUACUACAUAACUACAUAGCAAUAAAGCACUACAUAAUUUAUCACUAUGUAAAUUCCCUCUUUGUUCCAAAACCUGGAAGCUCUUCAUCUCAUGAUACUUCAGUCUUUGGCUAAGACAUUAUCUUUGACCCAUCAAUUCUAUCUUCUUUAGAAGGAUACAGUUGGUUCUGGAAGUUCACAGGAACAAAAUUAUUCCAAAUAAACAUGUCACCUUUGAGUUUUACUUGGUGAUGCCAUUAUCCUGAAUAAGACCGGUCUCACACAAGCUUUGUCAUCUGUUAGGAAGAUGGUUCCCACCUCCAAUCAUCAUCUACUCACAUCUCAAAUUCCAUCCCAGCCAUGGGUUUGAGGACCAAACCUCUUUCUACAUGUUCUCUUUUAAAACUCAAAUACCUCCAGAAAUCUGGCAUAAAAUCCUAACAUUUUAUGGAGUUCCCGUCGUGGCGCAGUGGUUAACAAAGCCGACUAGGAACCAUGAGGUUGCGGGUUCGGUCCCUGCCCUUGCUCAGUGGGUUAACGAUCUGGCGUUGCCGUGAGCUGUGGUGUAGGUUGCAGACGCGGCUCGGAUCCCGCGUUGCUGUGGCUCUGGCGUAGGCCGGUGGCUACAGCUCCGAUUCAACCCCUAGCCUGGGAACCUCCAUAUGCCAUGGGAGCGGCCCAAGAAAUAGCAACAACAACAACAAAAAAGACAAAAGACAAAAAAAAAAAAAAUCCUAACAUUUUAGUGGAGACAUUUCCUCUCUAUUGAUAGGAGAAAUGGAACAGCUCAGGUUGCUGCUAUAUUGUGGGUUCAAUCCCUGGCCUGAGAAAUUCCACAUACCAUGGGCAUGCCCCCCCCCCAAAAUGGGGACAGAAAAGCAAAAGGGUCAUGGGAGGUGUUUAACAGUGACACAAAGUGACAUAAGCCAAACCCGGCCUUUUGCCAGAGUGGGCACUGCGCCCACGUGCACUAGAGCAGUUGCACCUGCUGCUAAAAUACUGAAAAACUGUCAUAUCAGUGGGUAGACAGCUGUUGUCCUGAGCACCUCCACCAAACCCCCCAUGCCCAGUGCUGCCUCUCCAUCCCAGCUGCUCCAGUCUCUUUCCUGGGAGCUCUCCCCACCUUUUCCCCAAGCCAGCAACCAAAGGGGACCUGCCCCAGCACCAUGGACACACCAAGCCUCACUGGCUAUUCAACAUCUCAAUAUCACUUGCUUCCAACAAUCGUCAGGUGAACAACAAAAGCAAGUUUCAGAAUACAUUCUGCUACUGAUUCAAACAGUUAUUGGCAACAGACAGCUAAGUCAGUCAUCUAACUUGGUCUGAUCAUCUGAGAGAAUUUCUCCUCUCUGUCUUUUGCCACCCUGCGGCAGGAAAUGGUGACCUGAGAGCAGGUGAAUCUUUUCAUUUGAUCCAGCCACAGGGUCCUUGUCAAUGAGGGUCCCUGGACCUAGAAUGCCAGGCUAUAGGGGUCUGGUGGCUGCGUUUGCUUCUGUGUUGUAUAUACACAGAGAGCUCUGCUCACAUACUCUUUUUAGCCAACUGCAAUCUCUUUUUUUAAAUUUUUCUUUUCACAGCCACACACACGGAAGUUCCCACACUAGGGGUCAAAUCACAGCUGCAGCUGUAGGCCUACACCACAGCCACAGCAGCACUGGAUCCAAGCCACACCUGUCACCUAUGCUGUAGCUUGUGGCAACACCCGAUCCUUAACUCAUUGAGUGAGGCCACAGAUCCUUGAACCUGCAUCCUCAUCCACUAUGUUGAGUUCUUAACCCACUAAGCCACAGCAGGAACUCCUGCAAUUCUUAAACAACAUUCAUAUUACGGAUAAAAAUCUGUUCCUACCUUGCCCUAUGAUAAUUACAGACUUUCCAGUUUUUUUUAAUUUUGGGGUUUUUUUUUGUCUUUUUGCCAUUUCUAGGGCCGCUCCCACGGCAUAUGGAGGUUCCUAGGCUAGGGGUCUAAUUGGAGCUGUAGCCACCGGCCUACUCCAGAGCUACAGCAACAAGCGAUCUGAGCCUCGUCUACAACCUACACCACAGCUCACGGCAACGCCAGAUCGUUAACCCACUGAGCAAGGGCAGGGAUCAAACCAGCAACCUCAUGGUUCCUAUUCGGAUUCGUUAACCACUGAGCCACAAUGGGAACUCCCUGCUGCAUGUUUAUAAAGUGAUUUUAAUGCACUUGGACAAAAGUUCCUGGUGGGUGUGUUUGAAUGCUGACUAAUCACCCCUAGGGUGCAGAUUAAACUUAAUUAACACACACUGAUAUUCUGUGUUGUUGAUUAUUUUGGAAUAACAGCUUUAUCGAGAUAUAAUUCACAUAUAACAGAACUGAUCCAUAUAAAAUGUACAAUUUAAUGGCUUUUAGUAGAUUCACAGAUACACGCAACCAUCUCCAGUCAAUUUCAGAAUAUUUGCAUCACCUCAAAAAAAGCAAGCCUAAAUACAUACAAAUCUUGAGAACUAUUAUUUCUUGGAACAAGGGGUUAGAUAGGGAGAGAAAGAAAUAGGACUUUUCUCAUUUUUUGAUUUUGAUUUGAAGCAGGCAAAUGCAUUACUCAUUCAGAAACUAAAGAAAAGGAAUUCCCGUCAUGGCUCAGCAGGUAAAGAAUGCAACUUGUAUCCAUGAAGGUGUAGUUUCAAUUCCUGGCCUCGCUCAGUGGGUUAAGUAUACAGUGUUGCCAUGAACUGUAGUGUAGGUUGUAGAUGCAGCUCGCAUCCCGAGUUGCUGUGGCUCUGGUGUAGGCCAGAGCUGUGGCUCUGAUUCAAUUCCAUCCUUAGCCUGGGAACUUCCAUAUGCGGCUGGCGAANCCUUCUCCUUUUUUUUUUUUUUUUAGGGCCUCAUGUGU
Molecule: long non-coding RNA, 6326 nt
Filed under: Sus scrofa (pig)
Lineage: Eukaryota; Metazoa; Chordata; Mammalia; Artiodactyla; Suidae
Description: lncRNA (ENSSSCG00025055486.1)
Source: RNAcentral